RNAcentral lists this ribosomal RNA (253 nucleotides) under uncultured bacterium. Its description in RNAcentral is "partial 16S ribosomal RNA". It matches the Rfam family "Bacterial small subunit ribosomal RNA", at positions 524 to 776 of the family's 1533-position model. The record is from RNAcentral.
UACGUAGGGGGCAAGCGUUGUCCGGAAUCAUUGGGCGUAAAGAGCGUGUAGGCGGCCUAAUAAGUCGGUUGUGAAAGUCAAGGGCUCAACCCUUGAAUGCCGGCCGAUACUGUCAGGCUAGAGUCCGGAAGAGGCGAGUGGAAUUCCUGGUGUAGCGGUGAAAUGCGCAGAUAUCAGGAGGAACACCGAUGGCGAAGGCAGCUCGCUGGGACGGUACUGACGCUGAGACGCGAAAGCGUGGGGAGCGAACAGG